AUUGAACGCUGGCGGCAUGCUUUACACAUGCAAGUCGAACGGCAGCACGGGGGCAACCCUGGUGGCGAGUGGCGAACGGGUGAGUAAUAUAUCGGAACGUACCCGGAAAUGGGGGAUAACGUAGCGAAAGUUACGCUAAUACCGCAUAUGCCCUAAGGGGGAAAGCGGGGGACUCGCAAGAACCUCGCGUUUUCGGAGCGGCCGAUAUCGGAUUAGCUAGUAGGUGAGGUAAAGGCUCACCUAGGCGACGAUCCGUAGCUGGUCUGAGAGGACGACCAGCCACACUGGAACUGAGACACGGUCCAGACUCCUACGGGAGGCAGCAGUGGGAAUUUUGGACAAUGGGCGCAAGCCCUGAUCCAGCCAUGCCGCGUGAGUGAAGAAGGCCUU
This 390-nucleotide ribosomal RNA is filed under the name uncultured bacterium. RNAcentral's name for it is "bacterial SSU rRNA". It matches the Rfam family "Bacterial small subunit ribosomal RNA", at positions 30 to 418 of the family's 1533-position model. The record is from RNAcentral.